UGCAGUCGAGCGGCAGCACGGGGAGCUUGCUCCCUGGUGGCGAGCGGCGGACGGGUGAGUAAUGCAUAGGAAUCUGCCCGGUAGUGGGGGAUAACGUGGGGAAACCCACGCUAAUACCGCAUACGUCCUACGGGAGAAAGCGGAGGAUCUUCGGACUUCGCGCUAUCGGAUGAGCCUAUGUCGGAUUAGCUGGUUGGUAAGGUAACGGCUUACCAAGGCGACGAUCCGUAGCUGGUCUGAGAGGAUGAUCAGCCACACUGGGACUGAGACACGGCCCAGACUCCUACGGGAGGCAGCAGUGGGGAAUAUUGGACAAUGGGCGAAAGCCUGAUCCAGCCAUGCCGCGUGUGUGAAGAAGGCUUUCGGGUUGUAAAGCACUUUCAGCGAGGAAGAAAGCCUUUGGGUUAAUACCCCAGAGGAAGGACAUCACUCGCAGAAGAAGCACCGGCUAACUCCGUGCCAGCAGCCGCGGUAAUACGGAGGGUGCGAGCGUUAAUCGGAAUUACUGGGCGUAAAGCGCGCGUAGGUGGCUUGGCACGCCGGUUGUGAAAGCCCCGGGCUCAACCUGGGAACGGCAUCCGGAACGGCCAGGCUAGAGUGCAGGAGAGGAAGGUAGAAUUCCCGGUGUAGCGGUGAAAUGCGUAGAGAUCGGGGAGGAAUACCAGUGGCGAAGGCGGCCUUCUGGCCUGACACUGACACUGAGGUGCGAAAGCGUGGGUAGCAAACAGGAUUAGAUACCCUGGUAGUCCACGCCGUAAAACGAUGUCGACUAGCCGUUGGGACCUAUAAGGACUUAGUGCGCAGUUAACGCGAUAAGUCGACCGCCUGGGGAGUACGGCGCAAGGUUAAAA
This 851-nucleotide ribosomal RNA is filed under the name Salinicola sp. Mk5. RNAcentral's name for it is "bacterial SSU rRNA". It matches the Rfam family "Bacterial small subunit ribosomal RNA", at positions 56 to 899 of the family's 1533-position model. Lineage: Bacteria; Pseudomonadati; Pseudomonadota; Gammaproteobacteria; Oceanospirillales; Halomonadaceae. The record is from RNAcentral.